Molecule: ribosomal RNA, 433 nt
Filed under: Oreina alpestris
Lineage: Eukaryota; Metazoa; Arthropoda; Insecta; Coleoptera; Chrysomelidae
Description: partial 16S large subunit ribosomal RNA
Source: RNAcentral
GUCCUUUUGUAUAUAAUUUAAGGUCUAGCCUGCCCACUGAAAUUUUAAAUGGCCGUGGUAUUUUGACCGUGCUAAGGUAGCAUAAUCAUUAGUUUUUUAAUUAAAAACUGGAAUGAAAGGUUGGAUGAGAAAAUAGCUGUCUCUAUUAAAUUUAAUUAGAAUUUUAUUUUUAAGUUAAAAAGCUUAACUAUUAUUAAAAGACGAGAAGACCCUAUAGAGUUUAAUUAUUUAGUAAAAAUUAUAUUUUAGUAUUAAUUUAUUUAUUUUAUUAAAUAAUUUAAUUGGGGUGAUUGAAAAAUUUAAUUAACUUUUUUUAUUUAAGAACAUUAAUUUAUGAAUAAAUGAUCCAAUAUUUUUGAUUAUAAGAUAAAAUUACCUUAGGGAUAACAGCGUAAUUUUUUUAGAAAGUUCAUAUUAAAAAAAAAGAUUGCGA